AACGAACGCUGGCGGCAUGCCUAACACAUGCAAGUCGAACGAGACCCCUGACUUCGGUUGGCGGGUCUAGUGGCGCACGGGUGCGUAACGCGUGGGAAUCUGCCCUUGGGUUCGGAAUAACUCAGAGAAAUUUGAGCUAAUACCGGAUGAUGACGAAAGUCCAAAGAUUUAUCGCCCAGGGAUGAGCCCGCGUAAGAUUAGCUUGUUGGUGGGGUAAUGGCCUACCAAGGCGACGAUCUUUAGCUGGUCUGAGAGGAUGAUCAGCCACACUGGGACUGAGACACGGCCCAGACUCCUACGGGAGGCAGCAGUGGGGAAUAUUGGACAAUGGGCGCAAGCCUGAUCCAGCAAUGCCGCGUGAGUGAUGAAGGCCUUAGGGUUGUAAAGCUCUUUUACCAGGGAUGAUAAUGACAGUACCUGGAGAAUAAGCUCCGGCUAACUCCGUGCCAGCAGCCGCGGUAAUGUCACGUCG
RNAcentral lists this ribosomal RNA (472 nucleotides) under uncultured bacterium. RNAcentral's name for it is "bacterial SSU rRNA". It matches the Rfam family "Bacterial small subunit ribosomal RNA", at positions 29 to 530 of the family's 1533-position model. The record is from RNAcentral.